ACAUCUCUGCAGUCGUCCUGUGCAUGUCAAACCCAGGUAAGGUUCUUCGCGUUGCAUCGAAUUAAUCCACAUGCUCCGCCGCUUGUGCGGGCCCCCGUCAAUUCCUUUGAGUUUUAGCCUUGCGGCCGUACUCCCCAGGCGGGGUACUUAAUGCGUUAGCUACGGCACGGAUCCCAAGGAAGGAAACCCACACCUAGUACCCACCGUUUACGGCGUGGACUACCAGGGUAUCUAAUCCUGUUCGCUCCCCACGCUUUCGCUCCUCAGCGUCAGUUACUGCCCAGAGACCCGCCUUCGCCACCGGUGUUCCUCCUGAUAUCUGCGCAUUCCACCGCUACACCAGGAAUUCCAGUCUCCCCUGCAGUACUCUAGUCUGCCCGUAUCGCCCGCACGCCCACAGUUAAGCUGUGAGUUUUCACGAACAACGCGACAAACCACCUACGAGCUCUUUACGCCCAGUAAUUCCGGACAACGCUCGGACCCUACGUAUUACCGCGGCUGCUGGCACGUAGUUGGCCGGUCCUUCUUCUAUAGGUACCGUCACUUGCGCUUCGUCCCUAUUGAAAGAGGUUUACAACCCGAAGGCCGUCAUCCCUCACGCGGCGUCGCUGCAUCAGGCUUGCGCCCAUUGUGCAAUAUUCCCCACUGCUGCCUCCCGUAGGAGUCUGGGCCGUAUCUCAGUCCCAGUGUGGCCGGUCACCCUCUCAGGCCGGCUACCCGUCGUCGCCUUGGUAGGCCAUUACCCCACCAACAAGCUGAUAGGCCGCGGGCCCAUCCCACACCGCAAAAGCUUUCCACCACACACCAUGAAGCGCGUGGUCAUAUUCGGUAUUAGACCCAGUUUCCCAGGCUUAUCCCAAAGUGCAGGGCAGAUCACCCA
RNAcentral lists this ribosomal RNA (880 nucleotides) under Mycolicibacterium fortuitum. Its description in RNAcentral is "partial 16S ribosomal RNA". Lineage: Bacteria; Bacillati; Actinomycetota; Actinomycetes; Mycobacteriales; Mycobacteriaceae. The record is from RNAcentral.